AACGAACGUUAGCGGCGCGCCUAACACAUGCAAGUCGAGCGAGAAAGGGGCAACCCCGGUAAAGCGGCGCACGGGUGAGUAACACGUAGGUAAUCUACCCUCGGGUGGAGGAUAACUUUCCGAAAGGAAGGCUAAUACUGCAUGAGACCACGGUUCCGGAAGGGAUUGAGGUCAAAGCCGGCCACUGUACACAAGCUGGCGCCUGAGGAUGAGCCUGCGGCCCAUCAGCUAGUUGGUAGGGUAAUGGCCUACCAAGGCGAAGACGGGUAGCUGGUCUGAGAGGAUGAUCAGCCACACUGGAACUGAGACACGGUCCAGACUCCUACGGGAGGCAGCAGUGGGGAAGUCUUGCGCAAUGGGCGAAAGCCUGACGCAGCGACGCCGCGUGAGUGAUGAAGGCCUUCGGGUUGGUUAAAGGACUCUGUGGAGGGGGACGGGAAAGUAAAGGGGACGUGGGCGUAACAAUACCAGCUUGAUGACGGUACCUCUUUAGUCAAGACACCGGCUAACUCUGUGCCA
RNAcentral lists this ribosomal RNA (519 nucleotides) under uncultured bacterium. RNAcentral describes it as "bacterial SSU rRNA". It matches the Rfam family "Bacterial small subunit ribosomal RNA", at positions 29 to 510 of the family's 1533-position model. The record is from RNAcentral.